CGGACGGGGGAGUAAUGUCUGGGAAACUAGCCUGAUGAGGGGGAGUAACUACUGGAAACGGUAGCUAAUACCGCAUAACGUCGCAAGACCAAAGAGGGGGACCGUUAGGGCCUCUUGCCAUCGGAUGUGCCCAGAUGGGAUUAGCUAGUAGGUGGGGUAACGGCUCACCUAGGCGACGAUCCCUAGCUGGUCUGAGAGGAUGACCAGCCACACUGGAACUGAGACACGGUCCAG
RNAcentral lists this ribosomal RNA (234 nucleotides) under uncultured bacterium. RNAcentral describes it as "partial 16S ribosomal RNA". It matches the Rfam family "Bacterial small subunit ribosomal RNA", at positions 99 to 334 of the family's 1533-position model. The record is from RNAcentral.